UCCUACGGGGGGCAGCAGUGGGGAAUACUGCACAAUGGGGGAAACCCUGAUGCAGCAACGCCGCGUGAAGGAAGACGGUUUUCGGAUUGUAAACUUCUGUUCUUAGUGAAGAAGAAUGACGGUAGCUAAGGAGCAAGCAUCGGCUAACUCCGUGCCAGCAGCCGCGGUAAUACGGAGGAUGCGAGCGUUAUCCGGAUUUAUUGGGUUUAAAGGGUGCGUAGGCGGUCCGUUAAGUCAGCGGUAAAAUUUCGGGGCUCAACCCCGUCGUGCCGUUGAAACUGGCGUUCUUGAGUGAGCGAGAAGUA
Molecule: ribosomal RNA, 305 nt
Filed under: uncultured bacterium
Lineage: Bacteria
Description: bacterial SSU rRNA
Rfam family: Bacterial small subunit ribosomal RNA
Source: RNAcentral